Molecule: ribosomal RNA, 503 nt
Filed under: uncultured bacterium
Lineage: Bacteria
Description: partial 16S ribosomal RNA
Rfam family: Bacterial small subunit ribosomal RNA
Source: RNAcentral
AUUGAACGCUGGCGGCAGGCUUAACACAUGCAAGUCGAGCGGAGUGAUGGUGCUUGCACUAUCACUUAGCGGCGGACGGGUGAGUAAUGCUUAGGAAUCUGCCUAUUAGUGGGGGUCAACAUCUCGAAAGGGAUGCUAAUACCGCAUACGUCCUACGGGAGAAAGCAGGGGAUCACUUGUGACCUUGCGCUAAUAGAUGAGCCUAAGUCGGAUUAGCUAGUUGGUGGGGUAAAGGCCUACCAAGGCGACGAUCUGUAGCGGGUCUGAGAGGAGGACCCGCCACACUGGGGCUGAGACACGGCCCAGACUCCUACGGGAGGCAGCAGUGGGGAAUAUUGGACAAUGGGGGGAACCCUGAUCCAGCCAUGCCGCGUGUGUGAAGAAGGCCUUAUGGUUGUAAAGCACUUUAAACGAGGAGGAGGCUUACCUAGUUAAUACCUGGGAUAAGUGGACGUUACUCGCAGAAUAAGCACCGGCUAACUCUGUGCCAGCAGCCGCCGUAA